GGUUUUUUGUUUAUAUAAAAGAUUUGGCCUGCUCUAUGAUUAUUUAAAUGGCUGCAGUAUUUUGACUGUACAAAGGUAGCAUAAUCAUUUGUCUUUUGAUUGGGGACUGGAAUGAAUGGUUAGAUGAGAAGUAUUCUUUCUUUAUAUUAAAGAGUGAAUUUGAUCUUUAAAUUAAAAAGUUUAAAUAUUUUUAUCAGACGAGAAGACCCUAUAGAACUUUAUUAGUUAUUUAUCUAUAAUUUUUAGUAUGAUGAUUUUAUAGAUUAUUUUACUAAUUUUAUUGGGGUGAUAAAAAAAAAUUAAUAACUUUUUUUAUUAUUUUCAUUUAUAUAUGUUUUUUUGAUCCUUUAUGUUUGGAAUAUAAGAUUAAGUUACCUUAGGGAUAACAGCGUUAUUGUUUUGGAGAGUUCAUAUUGAUAAAAUAGUUUGCGACCUCGAUGUUGGAUUAAAAUAAGUGAUGGGGGUAGUACCUUAUUUACUAGGUCUGUUCGACCUUUGAAUUUUUACA
This 508-nucleotide ribosomal RNA is filed under the name Cylapus sp. WCW-2003e. Its description in RNAcentral is "partial 16S ribosomal RNA". The stretch from base 382 to 508 matches the Rfam family "Bacterial large subunit ribosomal RNA", at positions 2473 to 2600 of the family's 2925-position model. RNAcentral also lists the same sequence under 4 other names. Lineage: Eukaryota; Metazoa; Arthropoda; Insecta; Hemiptera; Miridae. The record is from RNAcentral.